RNAcentral lists this ribosomal RNA (1464 nucleotides) under uncultured Bordetella sp. RNAcentral describes it as "partial 16S-23S ribosomal RNA intergenic spacer". It matches the Rfam family "Bacterial small subunit ribosomal RNA". Lineage: Bacteria; Pseudomonadati; Pseudomonadota; Betaproteobacteria; Burkholderiales; Alcaligenaceae. The record is from RNAcentral.
CCUGAUCAUGAGUCUGAUUGAACGCAAUAUGGAUGCUUUACACAUGCAAGUCGAACGGCAGCACGGACUUUCGGUCUGGUGGCGAGUGGCGAACGGGUGAGUAAUGUAUCGGAACGUGCCGAAGAGAAGCGGAUAACUACAGAAAGCGUAGCUAUCACCGCACAUUACUUCGGGGAAAGCGGGGGGACCUUCGGGCCUCGCACUAUUAGAGCGGCUGAUAUCGGAUUAGCUAGUUGGCGGUAACGUGGUCAAUUGGUUGCGACGAUCCGUAGUUGGUUUGAGAGGACGAUGGAAGCCACAUUGGGACUGAGACACGGCCUGCACUCCUACGGAGGCAGCAGUGGGGAAUUUUGGACAAUGGGGGAAACCCCAUCCAGCCAUCCGCGUGUGCGAUGAAGGCCUUCGGGUUGUAAAGCAUCUCUGCGUGAAAGAAACGGCACGUGGAUACUUCACCCUGUGCAACUGACGGUACCUGCAGAAUAAGCACCGGUUAAUUCAUGUGCCAGCAGCCGCGGUAAUACGUAGGGUGCAAGCGUUAAUCGAAUUACUGGCGCAGCGCGCAGGCGGUUCGAAAGAAAGAUGUGAAAUCCUGAGCUUAACUUUGGAACUGCAUUUUUAACUACCGAGCGAUGUCGCGAGGAGGUGGACUCCGCGUGUAGCAGUGAAAUGCGUAGAUAUGCGGAGAACACGGAUGGCGAAGGCCUCCUGGGAUAACACUGACGCUCAUGCACGAAAGCGUGGGGAGCAAACAGGAUUAGAUACCCUGGUAGUCCACGCCCUAAACGAUGUCAACUAGCUGUUGGGGCCUUCGGGCCUUGGUAGCGCAGCUAACGCGUGGGUGAAGUUGACCGCCUAGAGUACGGUCAAGAUUAAAACUCAAAGGAAUUGACGGGGACCCGCACGAAGCGGUGGAUGAUGUGGAUUAAUCUGAUGUAACGAAAAACCUUACCUACCUGACAUGUCUGAAUCCCGAAGAGAUUUGGGAGCUGCAAGAGAACCGGAACAGGUGCUACAGCUUUUAUGUCAGCUCGUGUCGUGAGAUGUUGGGUUAAGUUCCGCAACGAGCGCAACCCUUGUCAUUAAAUGCAUACGAAAGGGCACUUCUAUCGAGACUGCCGGUGACAAAACCGGAGGAAGGUGGGGAUGACGUCAAGUCCCUAUGGCCCUUAUGGCAAGGGAAAUACACGUCAUACAAUGGUCGGGACAGAGCAGUCGCCAACCCGCGAGGAGCUAACCAGAAACCCGAUCGUAGUCCGGAUCGCAGUCUGCAACUCGGCUGCGUGAAGUCGGAAUCGCUACAAAGACCAUGGAUCAUGGCCAUGUCGCGGUGAAUACGUUCCUGGCCUGUACACACUGCCCGUCACACCAUGGGAGGUUUUACCCAGAAGUGCAGUUAGCCUGUAACCGUGUUGAGGAAGGAUUACGGUAGGAUUCAUGACUGGGGUGAAGUCGUAACAGCGGUAA